This 709-nucleotide ribosomal RNA is filed under the name uncultured bacterium. Its description in RNAcentral is "bacterial SSU rRNA". It matches the Rfam family "Bacterial small subunit ribosomal RNA", at positions 55 to 764 of the family's 1533-position model. The record is from RNAcentral.
AUGUCAGUCGACGGUAGAGUAGCAAUACUCGAGAGUGGCGAACGGGUGAGUAAUAUAUCGGAACGUGCCCAGUCGUGGGGGAUAACGUAUAGAAAUUUACGCUAAUACCGCAUACGAUCUACGGAUGAAAGCGGGGGAUUCGCAAGAACCUCGCGCGAUUGGAGCGGCUGAUAUCAGAUUAGGUUGUUGGUGAGGUAAAAGCUCACCAAGCCGACGAUCUGUAGCUGGUUUGAGAGAACGACCAGCCACACUGGGACUGAGACACGGCCCAUACUCCUACGGGAGGCAGCAGUGGGGAAUUUUGGACAAUGGGCGAAAGCCUGAUCCAGCAAUGCCGCGUGUGGGAAGAAGGCCUUCGGGUUGUAAACCACUUUUGUACGGAACGAAACGGUUCGCUUUAAUACAGUGGGCUAAUGACGGUACCGUAAGAAUAAGCACCGGCUAACUACGUGCCAGCAGCCGCGGUAAUACGUAGGGUGCGAGCGUUAAUCGGAAUUACUGGGCGUAAAGCGUGCGCAGGCGGUUAUAUAAGACAGUUGUGAAAUCCCCGGGCUCAACCUGGGAAUUGCAUCUGUGACUGUAUAGCUAGAGUACGGUAGAGGGGGAUGGAAUUCCGCGUGUAGCAGUGAAAUGCGUAGAUAUGCGGAGGAACGCCGAUGGCGAAGGCAAUCCCCUGGACCUGUACUGACGCUCAUGCACGAAAGCGUGG